GUUCCUGUAGCUUACACUCAAAGCAUGGCACUGAAGAUGCCAAGACGGUAACUACAUAAUAUUCCCCAGGAACA
Molecule: transfer RNA, 74 nt
Filed under: Eurystomus gularis
Lineage: Eukaryota; Metazoa; Chordata; Aves; Coraciiformes; Coraciidae
Description: tRNA-Phe
Source: RNAcentral